This 253-nucleotide ribosomal RNA is filed under the name uncultured bacterium. RNAcentral describes it as "partial 16S ribosomal RNA". It matches the Rfam family "Bacterial small subunit ribosomal RNA", at positions 524 to 776 of the family's 1533-position model. The record is from RNAcentral.
UACGAAGGUGGCAAGCGUUACUCGGAAUUACUAGGCGUAAAGGGCAGGUAGGCGGUUUGAUAAGUCUGUUGUGUCAGCUCCCGGCUUAACUGGGAGAGGUCAACGGAAACUAUUAGACUUGAGUGUAGGAGAGGGUACUGGAAUUCCUGGUGUAGCGGUGAAAUACGCAGAGAUCAGGAGGAACACCAAUGGCGAAAGCAAGUACCUGGACUAUUACUGACGCUCAGCUGCGAAAGCUAGGGGAGCAAACAGG